CCCUUAGAUGUUCUGGGCCGCACACGCGCUACACUGAAGGAGGCAGCGUGUACUCCUGGAUCGAAAGAUUUGGGUAACCCGCGAAUCUCCUUCGUGCUAGGGAUUGAGGUUUGCAAUUAUCCUUCAUGAACGAGGAAUUCCCAGUAAGUGCAAGUCAUAAGCUUGCGCUGACUACGUCCCUGCCCUUUGUACACACCGCCCGUCGCUACUACCGAUUGAAUGAUUUAGUGAGGACUUCGGACUGGGACCGAUGCGGCUUUCGGGCUGCGUCGGUAUUCUGGCAAGAUGUCCAAACUGUAUCAUUUAGAGGAAGUAAAAGUCGUAACA
Molecule: ribosomal RNA, 327 nt
Filed under: uncultured eukaryote
Lineage: Eukaryota
Description: partial 18S ribosomal RNA
Rfam family: Eukaryotic small subunit ribosomal RNA
Source: RNAcentral